GAUGAACGCUGGCGGCGUGCCUAAUACAUGCAAGUCGAGCGAACAGACGAGGAGCUUGCUCCUCUGACGUUAGCGGCGGACGGGUGAGUAACACGUGGAUAACCUACCUAUAAGACUGGGAUAACUUCGGGAAACCGGAGCUAAUACCGGAUAAUAUAUUGAACCGCAUGGUUCAAUAGUGAAAGACGGUUUUGCUGUCACUUAUAGAUGGAUCCGCGCCGCAUUAGCUAGUUGGUAAGGUAACGGCUUACCAAGGCAACGAUGCGUAGCCGACCUGAGAGGGUGAUCGGCCACAUGGGAACUGGGACACGGUCCAGACUCCUACGGGAGGCAGCAGUAGGGAAUCUUCCGCAAUGGGCGAAAGCCUGACGGAGCAACGCCGCGUGAGUGAUGAAGGUCUUCGGAUCGUAAAGCUCUGUUAUGGGUGAAGAACAAAUGUGUAAGUAACUGUGCACGUCUUGACGGUACCUAAUCAGAAAGCCCCGGCUAACUACGUG
This 497-nucleotide ribosomal RNA is filed under the name uncultured bacterium. Its description in RNAcentral is "partial 16S ribosomal RNA". It matches the Rfam family "Bacterial small subunit ribosomal RNA", at positions 28 to 507 of the family's 1533-position model. The record is from RNAcentral.